AAAAUGGGCAUUGUGCAACGGAGACCAGCAGAAGAUAUUUCCAAUUGGCUACUUAUGUGGCUCAUGCAUCAAACACCAAUAGAGUUCUGAACGAGAGUGCAAGCAGAAUUUGAAGAGAAGAGUCACCCAAGUUCUCUUACCUCUCUCUCUCUCGCAUCCACCGACGGGUAUCCGUACCUCUGAAGCUUCCGGAACCUUCAGAAGCCACCGGAAUGCAAGACUUUGGGGCGAUCCCCGGCGGAGGAGGAGGAGGAGGGCGCGUCAGGGACUACCCUCCUCUGCCGCCGGCGCAGCCGCAGCUUCCCGUCAAGUGCCCCCGCUGUGACUCCACCAACACCAAAUUCUGCUACUACAACAACUACAACCUCGCCCAGCCCCGCCACUUCUGCAAGUCCUGCCGCCGCUACUGGACCAAAGGAGGCGUCCUCCGCAACGUUCCGGUCGGCGGCGGAUGCCGCAAGUCCAAACGAUCCUCCAUGUCUAAGCCCUCCGGUGGCUCCGAGCGUAAGGACCCACCCCGCCGUCCCUCUGCCGCCCCUCGAUCCAGCAGCGGCAGUGGCAGUGGCAGUGGCAGCGGCUGCUCCACUCUCGCAACCGCUGAUGUGCCCACGUCCACCACCCCCUUCCCCAAUUCGGCCCUCCUGACCCCUCCUCCUGACCCUAACCCCGAUCCGGCCCCUUCCUUCGAUUCAGCGACGACGAUGGAGGUUCCACUGGUCCAGGCAGCGGAUAUCUUCCCGGACACAUCCACCGCCGCAGCGGGGAGCUUCCCGAGCCAGAUGUCGCUCGCUUCAACGCCGGCGAUCCUGGGAUUCAACAGAUUUCCCGAUCCACCACCCGUUCCGCUCCCGCCACAGUCGAAAGCUGCGGAGGAGAUCAGCGCACAGACGGGGUUCACGAAUCAGGCGGUCGCGAUCGACCCACGGGGGGCGGGCUCCGGCGCCGGGUGUGCGAUCGCCGGGAUGGACUGGCCCGGUGCGUCGGUAGACCCGGCGUUCUUCGAUCUCGCCACCGCUGUCGACCCCGCGUCGGCGUACUGGAGCCACGGCCACUGGGAAGACGCCGACCCCGCUCUCUACCUGCCUUGAUUCAACCCCGUAACUGAUUUCAGGUGAUUUAAACUUUAGAUGAGAUUGAGCCGCAGAAAACCAGCAAAGAUAAUAGGUGUAUUCCAGGAGCAAUUUUUUAUUAGGUCAUGCACCGUUCUCUCUCAUCUCCCUCAUCCUAUUCUGCAUUGACAUGGGUGAAGAUUAGGUGCAUAGGCCACUUCGAGCAAUAAACAAGCUAAAGAAGUAGCUCACAUGGAUCUGCAAAAGGACUGGUGAUGAUUGGUGAAGCACCUGUUAUCGGAUUGUCUGCAACACAUUGGAGCUGUAUAUACCAGCAGAGAAUCUUGAAUUUAGAGGUGAUGAACAGGUCAUGCACCCCUCGGACACAGAAACUUUGGGUGCACCUGAUCACCUCAAAUGCUGUAUGUGCUGUUGUCGAUCGUACUACUGCAGUGUUAGAUUUCCUAACCACGGAGAUGGGGAAAAGAGAAGACCAUUGUUCAUUGCUUCUCUUGCAACUUGAGUCUUGAAGCACAGCAAAGUAGGCAUACACUGUCACAAGUUUAUAAAGAUGUCAGUGAUCCUGUAGGAUAAUGUUGGAUUCCACAAUCCUUUAUGUCAUGUGAUCAAUCACUGAACAGUACAACUAUGUAGUAUUUGCCCCUGGCAGCAUAUAUGUUCUUGCAAGCUUGGAAAUA
RNA transcript from Musa acuminata subsp. malaccensis (wild Malaysian banana), 1747 nucleotides. It is a transcript of the gene named dof zinc finger protein 4-like, with no coding region annotated. NCBI's taxonomy places the organism in Eukaryota, Viridiplantae, Streptophyta, Magnoliopsida, Zingiberales, Musaceae. The record is from RefSeq and is a predicted model, not a curated record.